GGCCCGCCUGUAGCAGAAGAAAAAAAUGCUUUAGCUGUCACAGCAUGGCAGACCUGAGAGAAUGGCACUUUAGAGGAUAUGGAAGUCCGUUCUAGCCAACAGAAGGAACCAUCCAGCCAUGGGUGGAUGCUAACUCCUAUCACCACCCAGUUUCUCAAACGGACUUACUUUGUGGUAAAGCAUUACUGCUCUGUCCAUUUGCUCCCCUCUUCCUUCAUAAUAGCGUGCUGCUUCGAUCAUAUCUUCUGGAGAACUGAGAAGAGCCAGAUUCAUCAGUUGGUCAUCCAGAUUAUUCUCCUGUUCAAAAUAUCAAGAAGCACCUUUAAGGAUCGCGCUGACAUUACACUGAAACAAGUGGAAGCAAUUGUUUAAAAUUAGCAUCGUCUGUCCCAAUUCUAGCUGGUGCAUUCCCAGCAGAUGGACCUGGACCACCAUCGUCAGUGGGCAACCUAAAGUUGGAAAAGAGUUCAUUCUGGCAUGGGAGAGGGAGAGCAAACACUCACUUAUCUUUCAUCUUGUUGACUUCCAAAAAUAAGACAGAAUCAAGUUGUGAUGGGACUAUAUAUUAUCUAUGAUCUUGAACUUGUGAUAUAUGGGACAGAGAGGGAGUUCAGGAGGAUUCAACUGGGCAAAGUGGAAACACCACACACCAUCCAUCAUCCAGAGAAUUUCCUUACUGGAUCAAUGGCAAGACCACUAUAUAAGUGUAUUAAUUUGAAAAACUGCUAUGGUGGCCCUGCUCUCCCCAAAACAACAUGCUGAAUAGCCUGGACUGCUGCAACAGCACUACUUCACAGACAUCCAUGCAAUUGGGUUUGGACUCAAAGUUAACAUUUACUAGAUCCAGUACUAUGCAUAUGAACAGUUUGAAGAAAAGAAAUCUGAAGAAUCAUUGGAGCUGACGCAGCCCAGAAUAGAAGCAUUAUGACUGAGACAGGAUGUUUAAAUAAAAAUAAGGAAAGUACUAAAGCAACCUGACCUCCAGGUCACUUCGUAAGGGAGGGAGCAUCCGGAGACAGGGCUUUUGCUCUAGGAAACUGCUCCACUCCAACAAGCUGAAAAAAGCUGCUUCUAUCUUUGAAGUGAUUUCCCAGAAGAAGUGAAUGGAGCUUGGAAAAAGCCGUCGCCCUAGAGCAGGCCUUGAACUUUUAACACAGCAUGAAAGCUAUGUGGAUUUAGAUACUUGUUGGCCCACAAGUAUUUAAAUUAUCAGACUUAAGGGUCCAAACAGGCCAAGAUAAAGCUGCUUCGAGUCACUUUGGAGACAUGCUGUUUAAAUGAUGCAUGCAUUCUAAGAGGUCGAAAGCCAUACCAAAGCCAUGCUAAAG
Long non-coding RNA from Sceloporus undulatus (fence lizard), 1328 nucleotides. RefSeq lists it as uncharacterized. The transcript is spliced from 5 exons. The record is from RefSeq and is a predicted model, not a curated record. Lineage: Eukaryota; Metazoa; Chordata; Lepidosauria; Squamata; Phrynosomatidae.